UUGACGGUAGCUCAAUGGGCAGAGCGCGGGGUCGUGAUCCCCGAGGUUGCGGGUUCAAAUCCCGUCCGUCACCCCA
RNAcentral lists this transfer RNA (76 nucleotides) under Streptomyces sp. MJM1172. RNAcentral's name for it is "tRNA-His". It matches the Rfam family "tRNA". Rfam says of the family: Transfer RNA (tRNA) molecules are approximately 80 nucleotides in length. Their secondary structure includes four short double-helical elements and three loops (D, anti-codon, and T loops). Lineage: Bacteria; Bacillati; Actinomycetota; Actinomycetes; Kitasatosporales; Streptomycetaceae. The record is from RNAcentral.